Molecule: ribosomal RNA, 473 nt
Filed under: uncultured soil bacterium
Lineage: Bacteria
Description: bacterial SSU rRNA
Rfam family: Bacterial small subunit ribosomal RNA
Source: RNAcentral
AGGACGAACGCUGGCGGCGUGCUUAACACAUGCAAGUCGAGCGGUAAGGCCUUUCGGGGUACACGAGCGGCGAACGGGUGAGUAACACGUGGGUGAUCUGCCCUGCACUCUGGGAUAAGCCUGGGAAACUGGGUCUAAUACCGGAUAUGACCUGCUCUCGCAUGGGGGUGGGUGGAAAGAUUUAUCGGUGCAGGAUGGGCCCGCGGCCUAUCAGCUUGUUGGUGGGGUAAUGGCCUACCAAGGCGACGACGGGUAGCCGACCUGAGAGGGUGACCGGCCACACUGGGACUGAGACACGGCCCAGACUCCUACGGGAGGCAGCAGUGGGGAAUAUUGCACAAUGGGCGAAAGCCUGAUGCAGCGACGCCGCGUGAGGAUGAAGGCCUUGGGUUGUAAACCUCUUUCAGCAGGACGAAGCGACAAGUGACGGUACCUGCAGAAGAAGCACCGGCUAACUACGUGCAGCACGCCGC